Vicia villosa (hairy vetch) is the source of this 1521-nucleotide long non-coding RNA. RefSeq lists it as uncharacterized. The record is from RefSeq and is a predicted model, not a curated record. The transcript is spliced from 3 exons. NCBI's taxonomy places the organism in Eukaryota, Viridiplantae, Streptophyta, Magnoliopsida, Fabales, Fabaceae.
CAUUUAUAUGAUUACAAAUAUGGCUAUUUUUCUCAAGAUUGUUUAUGUUAUGAUCAUCUUUGUUUUCUUGUUACUUGUUGUAACACCCGAACUUUCAAAGGCUACUAGUGAAGUUCUAAGUGUUGGAAGCAAAGUACUUUUAAAAGGAUGUAUUUCUGAUGAUGAUUGCAAAUUUGACGUGUGUAUUCCUCCUAAUGUUCUAGAGUGCUAUAAGAAUGAAUGCAAAUGUACUUGGAGUUAAGUUGAAAUAUAAUUUUUGUAAUACUUUGAUUAUUUUCUUCUUUACAUAUAUACAACUUUUCAAGUCCUUUUAACAACUUUUAUUUAUUACUUUUAUUUCACAGAAAGAAUGUAUUGAAGACUCUGAUUGUAAAUCUUUAUGGUGUUUUCCUCCAUUUAAAUAUGCUCCUAAGUGUGAUGGACAUGGAUGUAAAUGUGUUUAACAGCUAAAAAGACUUUUACUUUUGGAAGACAUGAAGAUCUAUAAUGUCACUCUAUAAUUACCGUUAUUUAUUUAAGUAAAUAAAGGAAACAUGGUUAUGUAAAGUGAACAUAUAUUAAUAUAUAUUUUCUAAACCAUUUUAAAGACUAACAAACUAAAUUUUAACGAUUAAAAAUAAAGUUUAGGGAACUUAGUUAUAUAUUUUAAAAAAUACAUACCCGACCUUUUACCGGCAGGAAGCCAUGUAGCGCUGGGCCUUAUUCAUGUGGGGGCCAAUUGUUUUUGUUAUUAUUACAUAGAAAAUGAAAAAAAUAUUAUAAGAGAAUACAAAAAGUCAAAUUUGAAACGUUUCUCUACUUCUUUCUUUGUUUGUUGCUACUGUACACUUGCAUCAAAAACAAAAUAAAAACCAUCAAAAGCUAUUUUGAUUGUUCUUUAAUUUCAGUAAAAAAAGGAAGCUUUUUGCCUCUGUCAAAAACAAAAAACUAUGGGCCUUGGCCCCCAUAGUUAUCAAAAAAAAAAAAAACAAAAAACUAAAUGCCAUUACUUUUGUCGCACCGUCAGAACCAUUAGUUUACGACGACGUCGACGUCAACACGAUAAAACGAAGACGACGAUGUUGUGUAGUAUUGACUCAAUGGUAAGUUUAUUAGAAUAUUUUUCUUUUAUUUAGCAAAAAAAUUUAAAUAAUAUAUUAUUGUUCUUGUUUGUUGAUAUUGAAAUUAGAAUAUGUGUUUCUUGAAUCUUGUAACUUGUAAGUUAAAAUGUUGCAGGAUUUAUGUGUUCUUCACUUCUUGUUAGUUACUACUUACUAGUUAAACUUGUACUGUUGAUUUGUUGUUCUUGUUAAUUGUUUGUUUGUGUUUUUUAUUUAUAAUUAAUUUUUAUGUAUGUUUGAAUUUGAUAUUUAAAUCGGUGGUGGUGAAUGAAAGUGACUAAAAAAGAAAAUAUAUUUACAACUUACUGUAUGGUUGGGUUACUAGUUUUUUCAAGUUUUCAAUGUGUCAAUUUGGACAAUUGUCAAUUAAUACUCAUUCCAUUUUCAUAUGAUAUGAACUAUGAAGGAAAACAUUGGUAGA